CCCUAACCACAGACUAAAUUCGCUGUUCGGCCUAAAAGAUGAAACGUAACUGGGGUAACACAUAUCUGAAAUAUUUAAUAGCUUGCCGGUGGCUCUUUUGCAGUUGCCACAAGCAAUUUGAUUGAGAUUUGCCCAAGGACUGGGCCACAUAAAUCAGGCUGUCCCAUCGACAGCCAUGUCAACGCUAAGCCGUCGAAUCAAAGCCGAAGCCAAAGGCCCCGAGCCAUGGGGUCCAAAGGUACAUAUAAGGAUUAGAAUUGAAAAGGACCCAGACGAUAUGUAGCACAUGGGCUGUGGGGAGAGCAAUAAAAGCGUCUUAAAAGUUUAAUGUCCCUCGAUUUGCGGUUGCAUACAAAUGACUUUUUAGCCGUCGUCUGCGCUCUCCUCUGCACUCCUGUUUCCUGUCUGUCUUCCUUUUUGUCGUCUGACUUUUGGAUUGGGGCGCAAAUAAAUCGCAGCACUGAGUUUAA
This is a long non-coding RNA of Drosophila yakuba, 470 nucleotides long. RefSeq lists it as uncharacterized. The record is from RefSeq and is a predicted model, not a curated record. The transcript has 2 exons. NCBI's taxonomy places the organism in Eukaryota, Metazoa, Arthropoda, Insecta, Diptera, Drosophilidae.